This 497-nucleotide ribosomal RNA is filed under the name uncultured bacterium. Its description in RNAcentral is "partial 16S ribosomal RNA". It matches the Rfam family "Bacterial small subunit ribosomal RNA", at positions 28 to 507 of the family's 1533-position model. The record is from RNAcentral.
GAUGAACGCUGGCGGCGUGCCUAAUACAUGCAAGUCGAGCGAACAGACGAGGAGCUUGCUCCUCUGACGUUAGCGACGGACGGGUGAGUAACACGUGGAUAACCUACCUAUAAGACUGGGGUAACUGCGGGAAACCGGAGCUAAUACCGGGUAAUAUAUUGAACCGCAUGGUUCAAUAAUGAAAGACGGUUUUGCUGUCACUUAUAGGUGGAUCCGCGCCGCAUUAGCUAGUUGGUAAGGUAACGGCUUAACAAGGCAACGAUGCGUAGCCGAGCUGAGAGAGGGAUCGGCCACACUGGAACUGAGACACGGUCCAGACUCCUACGGGAGGCAGCAGUAGGGAAUCGUCCGCAAUGGGCGAAAGCCUGACGGAGCAACGCCGCGUGAGUUAUAAAGGUCUUCGGAGCGUAAAACUCUGUUAUUAGGGAAGAACAAAUGUGUAAGUAACUAUGCACUUCUUGACGGUACCUAAUCAGAAAGCCACGGCUAACUACGUG